AUUGAACGCUGGCGGCAGGCCUAACACAUGCAAGUCGAGCGGAUGAAGGGAGCUUGCUCCUGGAUCCAGCGGCGGACGGGUGAGUAAUGCCUAGGAAUCUGCCUGGUAGUGGGGGAUAACGUCCGGAAACGGGCGCUAAUACCGCAUACGUCCUGAGGGAGAAAGUGGGGGAUCUUCGGACCUCACGCUAUCAGAUGAGCCUAGGUCGGAUUAGCUAGUUGGUGGGGUAAAGGCCUACCAAGGCGACGAUCCGUAACUGGUCUGAGAGGAUGAUUAGUCACACUGGAACUGAGACACGGUCCAGACUCCUACGGGAGGCAGCAGUGGGGAAUAUUGGACAAUGGGCGAAAGCCUGAUCCAGCCAUGCCGCGUGUGUGAAGAAGGUCUUCGGAUUGUAAAGCACUUUAAGUUGGGAGGAAGGGCAGUAAGUUAAUACCUUGCUGUUUUGACGUUACCAACAGAAUAAGCACCGGCUAACUUCGUG
RNAcentral lists this ribosomal RNA (484 nucleotides) under uncultured bacterium. Its description in RNAcentral is "partial 16S ribosomal RNA". It matches the Rfam family "Bacterial small subunit ribosomal RNA", at positions 30 to 507 of the family's 1533-position model. The record is from RNAcentral.